This 67-nucleotide transfer RNA is filed under the name Caulobothrium sp. MZUSP 8009. RNAcentral's name for it is "tRNA-Asn". Lineage: Eukaryota; Metazoa; Platyhelminthes; Cestoda; Tetraphyllidea. The record is from RNAcentral.
GUCUGUAUAGAUUAUUUUAUAAAUCGUGAUGCUGUUAACUUCAAGAAGGGAUAAGUCUCUGCAGUCG